Molecule: long non-coding RNA, 7037 nt
Organism: Passer domesticus (house sparrow)
Lineage: Eukaryota; Metazoa; Chordata; Aves; Passeriformes; Passeridae
Exons: 6
Source: RefSeq, a predicted model, not a curated record
CUGGAUUUUUUUGGUUGUUUGCCUUUUUUUGUUUUUUUGGUCUCUUUCUAUCCUCUGGAAAUGAUGAAAAGAUCACAUGAGGAGCAGGCACGGCGACCCAGGACCCUCGUAAGUCGGAGAAGACAUCGGACACAUGUAUCCCUGCACAGACCAUACAUCUGGGAGAUGAUUUUGGAAGUGUGAAGAAGACACAACAUCACUUCCUGGCAUGUGUUUUACUCCAGAUGAACGUCAGCAUGCUCUUUUUGAUUGCUUACCUGGUGUUAGUGCUCUGUGAAGGGAUCCUGUCACCACAGGACUGUUUCCCAUUCAGCUUCCCACAUACACAACCCCCAUGCUGGAUAUGCUGCACUCCAAAACAUGUGAGUGACAACAGGCUUGACAACCCUUGGGGUGGUGAAAGAUCUGGCGAGAGCAAGCCUCCCCAGCAUGCUCAUCAGCCUUAAGCAAUCAUGUCUGUGAUUAUGCUGCUGAAAUAAGGAGGUCCUGAAAGACCAGCAGACUGAGAGAUGGCUGAGAAGUUGGAGCCAUGGCUAUUUGUCUAGGAAGGAAAAAGAAAAGGUAAGAGAGAGUAUAAAAGGUACUGCCUGAAAGCUGGAACUUCAAAUCUUGCUCUAUGAUUGUCAUCUUAAUGUUCAGACAAAAUGUGUAUGCUGCCCUGCAAACUCUAGUUUCCUCCUCAGUAGACCUUACCUAGUUUAUCUACGGCUCCUGUAUCAAGACAGUGGGUGAUAAAUGGUCACCUAGAGCUAACUCAUGGUCAUCUUUGGAGCAGUUAGAUGUAAGUAAAUAACAUGUUUCUAGAAUGCAUGUUUGCUUUUCUACAACUAAUGACAUAUUUGUGGUUUGGAAGUCUCUUUUGCAAUGACCAAAAAUAAGGUGGGGAUUCUGCUUAGAAUCUAUGUUUCUAAAAUCAGAAUUUUGAGUCUUGUUCCAUACCUAUUUAGAAGUAAGCAAUAUGGAUGGGGAAGGCAAAAAAGUAAAAGUAAGGAGUAAUUAAGGCAUUUUUAAACAUCAGAGCUGUGUAAAACCACAAAGGGUAUUGUUAAAUCCUGGUUGAAUUUAUAUUCCCAUGAUUUCCAGACUUCUUGACAAAAUGGAGACUGAAACCCUAUGAACAUCUUCUCCUUUGAACUCCUAGCCCUAUCAGACUUGAGGUUUUCUGUGCACAGCAAUUUACAUCAUGAGAGUGCACUAAGCCACAGCAGCUGGGAGCCCUAACCACUCUGAAAGAAAAUGGGCAUUUGUUGUCAUGGUUUGACAACAGGCUUUCGGAACUAUAAUGCUUCACUGGAAUUCAAACAUUCAAUAUAAUGCCUACAAAUUAUGAUUUUGGAUGCAGAAUAUAUUUUGAAAAUUACUGAUUCCAUUUCCAGCAUGCUGAAGGAAAUGGAGGAAAUGGCAUUUUCUGAUGACAGCUCUAGUAUCUGCCCUGUGGAGCUGUAUGAGGAAAGCAGUAGUUUUCUGCCUUUUAAUCCCCUCUGUGUCCAUCCUUGUACCUGAAAAUAAAUGAAAAGCUGAAUAUUUGAACAUUUAUUUACUUAGGAAAAAAACACAGGAAAACCACUCUUUUCUUAAGAUGAGAAAUCUGAUUCUAAAGCUAUUUUUGAAAGAGUAAAGAGUAAACAGAUCCUUCUCAACACUGAAACAGCACCCUUGCAUUCCUCUGAAGAAACCAUCUACAUUUCUUGGGGUGUCACUAUUCCCUUGGAAUUUUGACUGCCACAGCGAGCAGGGCUUAGAGUCUUGACUCUUGGUUCAGAAAUCCAGACUGCAUUUCCUUUCACGACUGCUGACCUAGGAGCAGUCAUGAAGGAUGAUUUGGAGAUAGAUAAGUCUGCUCUCAUCCAACCCUCAGAUGGAUGUCACCAGUCUACAGCAGAUGAAUAGUGCAUUGAUCAGCACGUGCCUUCUUACCUUGUGCAUAUGAAGACAUUGGGGAGGCAUACUUCCUCUUUCUCUUGCUCUUUGCACACCACAUCUAUCAAGAAAAAAUGUAGUCUAGUCAGCUCAAAGGUAAAAGAAGCUGUCUCAGCAACAGGGGAAUGACUCAACAAGGAAACGACAAAGGGAGAAUCAAAUGUUUGUCUCUUCAAAAGGAUAUAAGACAUCUAGCUAUUCAUUCAGAAGCUCUAGGUGGGGCACUUUCUCACUGAUCCUGUAUCCAGUCAAAACAGCAGCUCAUGGCAAAGGUCCCAAAUAAUGUAAUGCAUUUAAAAAGUCCAAAUGAACAUCUGCAUCAUGUAGCUGCCUAUCCUUCAACACAGGAUAAAUACCAGGUCUAAAUAUCAGGCAGGGAGCUUGCUCAAUAUUAAACUUGAAAUAACUGGACUGUAACAUGUUUGCAAUGGCUUAAAUGGGUAGAGAAAGAAUCCAGCUCAAGGCAGAGCAUAUUUUGCAGAAAUGCCUAUUAGGUCUGAUUUUUUCACAUUACAUUAUUUUCUACAAGGCAGAAAGAUCAUAUGUUUUCCAAGCCGCAUCAGCUAGAGCACAAGGGAAAGAGGAUUCUGGAGUUUAGGUUAAGGCCAGUCUGAGUGCAGCGCUUGGGAUAACUGCUGAUCUCUUUAGACUCUCUAAUACCAGUUCUUUCUGAGUCUCUCAGGAGAUGGUUUGCUUGUACUAGAACUGAUAUUUCAAGAAUGAACAAUGGAAAACUGAAAAGAAGCAGAGGAAACCAAGCAAGUGAAGGCCAUAACAUGCUGAUUCAUACUUUAGAAAUUCCAUGGUGACCCUGGUAAAUUCAGCUCCACCAGUAGCAGGGGUUUUCCAUGGGUUAUCUGAAGAGAAGGGAAAUAAAAAUCUUCUUUUGCAGGUACUGCCUGGACAUGCCUCAUAUCUGGGCCUUUCACAGAGUUUCUGAAAAUCAUCUAAUCCUUGUUUCCACCUGCUCCAGCACAUCACAUUUUGCAGCUCAGCAAGUCUCUAUCUUUAGCCUCUCAGCAGUGGGACACUUUAGGCAGAAGAGGAUUAGCAGGCACACACAGGUUUAAGUGCAGCCUGCAACUAGUCACAAAUGCCUUAUCUGCAUAAGCUGUCAUUACUGGCAAGAAUAUGAAACAUAAUUGUUGCAUUGCGCUAUUUCUGAUUAAUUGGUUUAAGGCAUGAAGGAAGAGUGUUACUACCUAAAUAGGUAGUGAUAUAAAUAAUAGUGAUAUUCAUUGCAAUAAAACUUCGUUACACCAUGUCAGUAUAAUUCAGUAUUUUUUAAAACAAGGGGAACUGAUCUUUAUAAAGAAACAUAAGAGAAAACAUGGCUGAAGAUAAUGUGCCACACCAAACAUUAUUACUACAGUGUCAAAGGGACAUAAGCCUGACAAAUCUAGUUGGUUUAAUCAAAGUGUGGGCAUUUGAUACUGAUGUGGGUGUUGCUUAUGCAGAUUUUAGAGUAUUAAAUAAUUUAUCCCUAAAACCAUAUUGUUUUAUUUCAUGGGAUACUGUUGAACAAUUUCUUUACUACAGAAACAAGAAUGAUAACAGGAACAUGAUUUUCUCUCAUUUCUUUUUUUUCCCCUUAAAAACCUGAAGUGGUGUAAGGAUUUAAAAAUUAUUUACACAGAUCCUCAAAAGCAGGUGGUUUUAAUUGGAAAGACUUAUUACUGUAACUAAUCAUAUGCAAGCAUCUUUGUUUUUAUAAAGAUGAAGUUCCUCAUGUGUAAUACUCUCCUCCAUGGAAAUGUUCUUCUUCUUUGGAAACUGAGAUGUGUCCUCGCUCUGAACUUGGGUUUGGCAGAGUGUUUCCCUGUACCUGGGAUCUCUGCCAGAAAAAUGUGAAGACAUGGGGUGGGACAAGGGAGAGAAUGGGCUAGCUUGAGGGAGAGGUUAGCAGCCUGUGGUCAAGGGUUACAGAAACUCAAAAUAUGAAAACUUCACUAAAACUGAGUUGAGAAAAAUGAAGAAUAUAUAGGGGACAAUUCUUCCAAUGCAUAAGAAUGUUCAGAUAGAGAUGCACUGAGCUGGACUCCUAAUCUCUGCACACAGUAGAACUCCACUGAUAGUUAACAGAGUCUUACAUGUUUACAGUGGUAGAAAUUAAAUUCUAAUUUGGGUUCAUUAUUUCUUAUUUUGUCUUCACACUUUCAGGGUGGAAAUUAAUUAUUGUUUGGGUUGACAUUUUGAGAUUAGAUCUUUUUAAAUGAGUUUGAGAUUAAUUUUUUUCUUUGUAAAGUUAAAAUAAAAUCCAUGCAAACCAGACUGAUUUUAAGCAAGUGCUCUGUAAGAAGGAAGCAGCUAUUCCACAUCUGAAGAGAGGUAAGUUUGGAAUAAUAUAUGUACGUCUAUUUAAAAUCUUAAUUUAUUAAUAUGAAGAGUGAUAACUGUGGUUUUUUAGGCAGUUAUGACAAAGAAAAUUAUCUUUAAUGAUCAGCAAAGAGAUAGAAAUGAGGAAAACCCCUCAAAAGUAUUGUAUAAUUUUUGUCCGUUCAAAUAACUAACUGUUUGAGCCUUCAGGACUGAACCAUUAGGACUUCAACUUUUCUAACAUGCAUUUGGCUCUCAUGUUGGUAAAUAACAAAACCUUUUAUUGUCUGCUUAUAUUCAUAAUAUAUUAAAAAAGAGAUUUUUGUAGCAGAGGCAAAUUGUUAAAUUGUGAACAUUAAGUUAUCCAGGAGGACAUACUUGGUUGGCUAAAAUGUCUUUCUGCUUGUAAAUCUAAAAAAAAAUUUAAGGUAGUUGAUUUACUAUCCCAAAUCCUGGCAAGUAAUCUUGACUUUAAAGAGAAAGUGCUCAGAUCUGCACUCACUUGGAAUUUGAGGUGCAGCUAUGACUGUGGUGGAUGGACUUAAGCUAUGUAAUUAUAUAUGCCUUUGUCCCCUGGCUACACAUACACAAUUAUGACACUUAAGAGAAGGAUUUUAACUGAAAUAAACCUUGCCUGUGGAGCAACCAAGAAUUAUAUGCAGACAUCACAUUACCACAUCAUCUUUGCCUAGAGGAGUGGUGAAUGCAGGAAAAUAGGGUGUGACUCAACUGUUUGGCUUCUACAUGCAAAUGAUGUUGCCCAGCCCUGAUGAUUCAUUGUGUGCAUGGUUCAGGCUUAAUGCAAUUUGAAUUGUUGCUUGAAGCACCAUGUUUUGUGUAGUAAGACCUUCAGGGUAAGUAAUGCAGAGUAAACACUAUAUAGACCUGUCCUAUUCCCUUGCACUGUUCAAUUCUGUCCUCGCCCUAUGCUGGAAGACUUGUCAGAAUUAUUUGAUUUAUUAGUUGCUGCAAUUGCUGGUGUGACAAAACAGCUCCUUCUACUCCACAGUGCAAAUUUUGUUCCUCUGUAACAGGCAGUCACUAUUUAGGGAAGUUCAGGGGGCUCUGGAGGUUUGGACAUAUGCUUAAAAAGGCAUAGUUUAUCAGUCUGCAUAAAAUUUCCUCAUGUCAUGUGUACUGCCAGUAUUGAUUCAGUCUCUUGAAGACUAUAUAUCUGUGAGAAUGUUGUUGGCAUAGUGAUAAUUUUCUUAAUAUAAGAUGACCUUGGUUAAGUCACAGAUGUAGUGGAUGACUCACAUAGUACUAACACUCUUUACAUCCCUAUAAAGAUUCCUGUUUCUAACACUCACACUUCCACCUAGUUCCUCAUCAGUCUCUUUGUAUGAGUUUCACAAUUACGCUAAAGCUGGAAACCUGUGUUGAUGGGUAUUAAUUUCAUCAUCUCUCUGCUGUACCUCUGAGUAUGAAGAGAGUGAGAGAGAGUCAAUCUUUAUUAAAGUCAAUCUUUCUAGCUGUUUAUGCUUCUUCCUCUGACACAUGUUGUCAGCUUUUUUUUUAAUAAUUUUGUUUAUGUUGAUGAUUUUAAAAGCAAAACCCAAGUUCUCCUUUCAGGUCCAUCCAUCCAUCAAUCCAGCCCUCAAAAAUGAUUUACUAUGUAAAUUAUCAAACAACAAAAUGCAUCUUAUACAUUGAUCAUAUUUAUGAAAUCUUCAGUAAGGGAGAUAUUGAUGCUUUAUACAACAGAGAAAAUGAACCUGGCCACACAUUAAAAUCUUUCUCAAAAUAAAACUUUAAAAAAUUUGUGGAAAAAAUAAUUUGAAAAUGGGAGCUGUUACCUACAAUUAGACUGUAGAAUGGUCUUCCAAACUGAAUGUCCUCCAUUAAAAAAAUAAAGAGCUAUGAGGAGACAGUUUUGGAUUAAUUAUUUGGUCAUAAUUCUUAAAACCUCAGAAGAAAGUAGAAUAAUUUAUACAUCAACCUCUACUCUGCUGGGAGCAAAUGUGAAAAGAGCUAGAUUAGAACUUUGAAGUAUAUUAUUUGGUAUGUGUUUUUGAAGAUUUUUUCUCCUCAAGGAAGAACAUCUUAAAAAAAACAGUGAAAUAUAAAGGAUUUUUUUUUGUUAUUUGUUUAUUUGAAUAUAGGAUCUUUUUCAUACACACGCAGUCUUGACACUGCUCACAAAAAUAUUAAGGUCACUGAGAGAAGACUAUAAGCAAGUAAAUAUUAUCUAAAUAUUAUCAUUUGACAGGUGAAAGCAAACAGAUGAAGACUUCUGGGUUUGGGGCUCAUAUGAAAUCACAUCAUACUCUGAGAGUAAGCUGUUGCCACGUGCAGGGGUGAUGCAGUCCCAGGUGGACCUGGUCCAGCCAGGCAAGGCCACUGAGAUCCAGCAGCUGCUCAGGAGAUCCGUGUGUCAAAGCCAGCAAGCAUCAUCUGCACUUUAGCAACCUCUGCAAGCACUUCAAACAAUAGCACAAAACAACUCCGGUUUCAUAUGACUUUCCUUGGUUCCCUCUUGUCCACAACAUUUGGAAUGAUCCUUUGUUAUUCUGCUAAGAAUAUGUACCUCCCACCUGCUUUUCUACAAGAAUGAAGCAAUAACAUCUGUAACCUACCUAUAGUGAAAAGGAGCCUAACAACUUUUUUGCUAUUGUGUUGUAAAACACAUUUACAGUUCUUGCCCCCAUUAUUUCUAUUUUAAACUCACACACUACACUUCAAAAAAAGAAAGUGAGAGAUUUGAAGAAAAAACUACAUAUGUAACAGUUUAGUUUUCAAUUUAUUUAGGAAAAGUUAAUGUCUUUAGUAUACAAGAAAAUUCAGCAAUCCAAUUACAGUAU